CUUAAAAGGGAAAUAAACUAUUUAGAUAAUUAAAAUUUUAGUACUGUUUUUUAAAUAUAUUUUAAAUUCAAGGUGUUUACAAAUUACAAUAUUUUUUUAAGUACAUGAGAUAAAUAGUCAUAGAAUCAAAUGUAUAUUAUAGUCAUAGAAUCAAGUGUAUAUUCUCAUAUCCUCAUGUAGGAAUGUGUGAAAUACGUAUUUCUUGGGUUGAAAGAAACAUGAUUUCUAAACAUUUCAAGCACAUUUGAGAAUCAAUAAUCCCAGCCAAAAAUUAAAUGCUACCUCCAUAGCUUCUAUGGCUAAACAUGAAACCGUAUGAUUGUUAGCUAAGAUAUUUAAACGUUGGAAGCCAGUUCAUAUCAGUACAUCACGACGAAGCAGGAGCAUCUCUUUCUCUUCUAUUUUGCUUCUAUUCUGCCUUCCUUUUUCUUUUCUCCGGGGAAUGGGUCCUCGAUUAAGACACCACAAUUCCAAUGGUCCCAAAAGUCUCAAGCCUCUUAAAACAGCAAAUUAUUAGGAUAUCUUCUUUGCUGGUGGGCAGUGAUCGUGGCCCACCCUCUCCAGUGUGGACACCUAACCUCCACGCAACAACAUAUUUAAGAUUGGACAAGCUUCAAUUGUGUGGACGCCUCAUUUUUCAACCCAGGAAUCUACCAAUCCCACGGUCCUAUCGGUGUUGUAUAAUAGUUUUACAAAGAAUUUGACUCAUCCUAUUCCCAGUGCUUGAUUUGAGGCUCUUCUUCGGAGCAUUUCCAAUUUCGUUGAUUUCUAGGAUUUCGAGUGCCAUAGCGGGUUAGGUAAACUACAUUCAGCUGCGACACCAAGGUGUAAUAACAAAAUUGAAACGGACGGUUCAUUUGUUGAACUUCCGGGGACCUGGCAAAAAUAUUGUCCAGUAACUCAAAACACUUUCUGGAUCUCAUACAAUGGCAGAAGAACAGUCCCCUGAAUCAAUCCCCCCGAGCAUGACAGGCCACUUGCCUAAUUUGGCAUCCAUGUGUGAUCGUGAUCUCCUGGAGCUGGUAUGGGAAAACGGCCAAAUUCUCGUUCGACGUUUGUCGACCAAGAUAACUAAAAGGAGUACUAAUUUCCCAUGCUCAGAUUAUUUUCGUGAUCAAUCUUCUAAGGCUCGAAUUCAACGUGAAGGAGAAACCUCUACUGCAAAUAGAUCAAAGGAUGGGGUUGCAGAUUCUACGUUCGGAGAUCGCUUAUCAGGUCUCUCAGGUCUGACUAAACUGGACUGUCAUGAUAAGAAUAAGACAAAUAAUUCUCUGCAAAUUGGUUACCCGGAACUAUUGUCAGAAUUGUGCGAAGAUGGUUUCAAUGUUGUUUUGGGAUCCAACAAAAAAAGCUACGAUAAGCAACUUAUAGAUUCUAAUAUCGUUCCUGUAAGCCAAUUCAAAAAUUUUAAACAAAGCUACCUAUCCAAGCUCGCUGAGGAGAUUCCACAGCAAACUAUGCAAAGCAAUCGCGAGGUACCUCAGUCUUCCUUGAAGCAAUAUGAAGCUUCUAUUAAAUUUAUGAGAUCAAAUGAGAAAAAGUCAAGGAUUGAUGAGAAAAGUGAUAGGGUGAACUUUUCCAUCUUCUUAAGACCUCCAAUUCUUCUUAAAUCUACCCAUUCAAGCUGUGGUGCAACAAGACCAACGAGCAGUCCAAGUUUAGCAGGAGUUGAUGAGAAUUUAGAAGGCAACGCCGGAGCUACCCCAACUAGCAAUCCCUUUGAAAAAGAAGGAAAUGUUAUGGCUAGAAACAUGAAGCCAAUAUCACCAGAUGCUGAGCCUCAAAAAGAGUCACUUCCUGAUGAGCAAUCCGAAGCCGUUGGCUAUAAAGAUACCCCUUCAAAUACAAGAUUUCCUAUUAAGGAUCAUGGUCCAUCCUCAAGCUUAGCGCCAAAUACAACCAUUAAGGGAAAUCCUGGUAAUAGAAAACCUGUUGACCUAAUGGUUGCAUCAUCUUCGGUUUGUUCGCGUGGGGCUUCAAACUGUCCAACGUACACUUUGAAAAGGAGAUAUGAAGACACUGAUCUCAGUGAAAAUAAUGCAAUGGAAGAACCCGAGGGCAUUAUCAAAGCUGCACCAGCACAGGGAAGAAAAGGUGCUAAGACUAAGAGAAAAGCAGAAGUUCACAGUAUAUCUGAAAGGAGGCGAAGAGAUAAAAUCAACAAGAAGAUGCGUGAAUUGCAAGAGCUCAUACCCAACUGUAAUAAGGUGGACAAAGCUUCAAUGCUUGAUGAGGCAAUUGAGUAUUUAAAGACCCUCCAGUUCCAAGCUCAGCUGAUGUCAAUGGGAACUAGGGUUUAUACGCCUUCAAUGAUGUUACCUUCGGCAAUGCAACAUAUAAAUGCACAACAUUUGGGUGGCUUUUCUCCCAUGGCUGUUGGGAUGGGUAUGGGAAUGCAAAUGGGCCUCGGCUGCGGCCCAGCACAGUUCCCAACUUCACUAAUAUCUAGAGCUGGAGCUGGAGCUCUGCCUGGGAUCGCAGAAGCUAGACUCAAUAUGCUUGGUUUACCUGGUCAGGUGUUAUUAAUGUCCAUGCCACGUUCACCUUUUGUAUCUUUGGCUGGAACAUUUUCCCCACAGUCGUUCCAAAUUCCUGGGGUAUCUCAAGCUGAUGCUGUGCAAGUGAAAAUUCCAGUUGCUACUGUUCCCCAAUCUACAUCAAAGGUUUCAGAUCCAGCACAUUAACUCAAAAAAUUACAGCAGAGCGAAUCAAUUCUCGAAAGUUCCAAAGACCCCAGAUCUCCUAUCAUCAGCUUCGCAGGAGCCAAAUUUCUAUAAUUUUUAUGAACUAGUGGACGAGAUGGGACACCCUUAAAACGUAAAAAUCCUCUCGUUUCUUCAUGUAUUGGCUUGUUUCUGCCUUUGAUUCAAUUAUGGACAACUGCGACUGGAUCCAAUGUUUGAAAAUGGAGUAUUACAGUCAUGGAAUGAGGCGUAUAUAGGAGGACCCCUUUAUCAGCAAAGAUUAGCAGGCCUGAUCAAGUUAGAUAUACUUCUGAAAAGCCAAGGUGAUGAGUGACCCCUUUUCCGGAGGAAACACAGUAAAUUCCAGUAGUGGUUUGCAUCAGGUUGCUGCUUUUCAUAUCAUUACAUUACCACGGGAAUAUACUAACUUCAUUUUGCAGCAGUUUAGACUUUUUCCUUCCAACAUGAGAGUUUUUUGAGCUGAAUACUAAUAAACAUAGUGAUGAUUCACUUGGAAUUUGUAGUCAGACGAACAGUUUGUGUAUAUAGCCUGCUUUCAUACAACAAAAUAAAUAAAUGAAUACAUAAAAGGGAAAAAAAGUUAUAAUGUUGGUAAACAUUUAAAUCUAGCAAAACAAGAUUUCAUUAAAUUUCUAAUUGGAA
Durio zibethinus is the source of this 3347-nucleotide non-coding RNA. The record is from RefSeq and is a predicted model, not a curated record. Lineage: Eukaryota; Viridiplantae; Streptophyta; Magnoliopsida; Malvales; Malvaceae.